AUUGAACGCUGGCGGCAUGCCUUACACAUGCAAGUCGAACGGUAACAGGUCUUCGGAUGCUGACGAGUGGCGAACGGGUGAGUAAUACAUCGGAACGUGCCCGAUCGUGGGGGAUAACGCAGCGAAAGCUGUGCUAAUACCGCAUACGAUCUACGGAUGAAAGCAGGGGACCGCAAGGCCUUGCGCGGACGGAGCGGCCGAUGGCAGAUUAGGUAGUUGGUGGGAUAAAAGCUUACCAAGCCGACGAUCUGUAGCUGGUCUGAGAGGACGACCAGCCACACUGGGACUGAGACACGGCCCAGACUCCUACGGGAGGCAGCAGUGGGGAAUUUUGGACAAUGGGCGCAAGCCUGAUCCAGCCAUGCCGCGUGCAGGAUGAAGGCCUUCGGGUUGUAAACUGCUUUUGUACGGAACGAAAAGACUCUUUCUAAUAAAGAGGGUCCAUGACGGUACCGUAAGAAUAAGCACCGGCUAACUACGUG
This 482-nucleotide ribosomal RNA is filed under the name uncultured bacterium. RNAcentral describes it as "bacterial SSU rRNA". It matches the Rfam family "Bacterial small subunit ribosomal RNA", at positions 30 to 507 of the family's 1533-position model. The record is from RNAcentral.